GGCAUGUGGGGGCACGUCAGCUGAGCACUCGGCAGUGCAGGCUGCAAGCUCGCGUAUAUUUCACAUUAUGCGCAUGACGUGUACUUCAGACUUGGAAUAAACGGUAAUUUGACAGGGGCACACGACAUUGCGCUGACAACAGUCGACAUCAUAGACAAGUAUACUAUAAUCGACAUUUCGCGACUUGUGCACUCGUGACUCGUCGCAAUAUCGUUCCAUGUGAAAGACUACGCACGCACUCGAUCGCGAGUAAUAAACUACAACUGUAUGAUCGCGACACGCCGACCGAACGAAGACCGUCUGAUAAUAAAUAAUUAUAAUAUUGUACACGACAACUGUCUACUGUGAAGAACGCCGCCGAAAAUACCCACGUAAAAUAUUUAUUUUACACACGCACGCACGGAUUGUGUAGUGUUUACUCGUUUUCGGAUUAAUUUUAUACCUAUUCGUAGGUAUCGAUAUAUCGUUGUUUUUGUAUAUCGUUUACAACUGUACGCGGCGACGCCAUCGAAGCCAUAUCGCACGCAACCACCGGCGCCGCAAUAGUUAAUUUCAUGGUCGUGACUCGUGGACUCUGCAGGUGUCAGCGUUCCCCUGUUCAGUUGUCACUCGCCGAAUACGCGCACCGACGCCGCCGCAGCCGCCAUAUUGUACUGUGCACCAUCCAGACGGCCAAAGUUUAUUAGUAAAAGAAAUGGAUGCCUUAGUUGAUAUGGAAAUAUGCCGAAUGAGGCCAGGAGUAGUCACAUUAGAUGGCUUGUUGUAUGUGGAGAAGUGGAAAUAUCCACUAUAAAUACUGUAGAAAUUUACAACCCAAUCACCAAUACUUGGAUCAUGGAGAAAUUGUCAAGACUUGGAGUGCACAUUUGUGGUGGGGUAGUCGUUGAUAUCCCACCACAUUAGUAAUAAUCAGCAUACAGAAUGAUUUCACUGUUGUGGAAGUAAUAUGAACUUAUUUUUGUAUAAUUUAUGAUGAAAUGUGAUUUAUUCUUUAUAUUUUUGUGAAUGUGAAUGUUUUUUUUUAUAAUUUAAAUUGAUUAUUUAAUUAAUUAAAUAAAUAAGUUAUAAAGUUAAUCAUAUUACAGUAUAUCAGCAAAAACUUA
Acyrthosiphon pisum (pea aphid) is the source of this 1103-nucleotide long non-coding RNA. RefSeq lists it as uncharacterized. Lineage: Eukaryota; Metazoa; Arthropoda; Insecta; Hemiptera; Aphididae. The record is from RefSeq and is a predicted model, not a curated record. The transcript has 3 exons.